Molecule: long non-coding RNA, 890 nt
Organism: Cyclopterus lumpus (lumpfish)
Lineage: Eukaryota; Metazoa; Chordata; Actinopteri; Perciformes; Cyclopteridae
Exons: 3
Source: RefSeq, a predicted model, not a curated record
CCAAUGACUUCUGGACUGUAAUCUGCAGAAGAGUCAGACUCCCGAUCUGUCUCCCCAACUGCAGUCCACUGUCUCCUUCCGGUGAUUGUCCUGACCGGGACGUCCCGGGACUCCGACAGAGAGGGAAUACUCACAGGAGGAGAGGAGCUCUCUCACAAGCAGAGCGCACUGAGAACAGAGAGAGGAAGUGCAUCUCUGGGAGGAAGUGGGGAGGUGAAGUCAGCAGGGUUUGCGAGACCUGAACCCUGAAUCUGAGUGACAGAUAUCUGAAAGUUCCUGACGCCCAUGCAGUUCUAGGAGGUCGAGAAAAAAAUCUGGAAAUCUGAUUUGCCGAUGAGCAGGAGACAAGAAUCGUGACAAUAAACCUGAUCAGGAAAUGAAAAGGGGGCAACGGAUCGAGAAUCUGAAUGAGAACCCGACAUUUCCUUCAGAAAACUCAGAGACCCAACAAUAAUCUGUCCAGAAAACUGAGAAAACUCCCAGAAGUAGAUCUGAAACUAUUGUGAGGUCACGCACAGACACACACACACAUAUACACACACAGACACACAUAUACACACACGCAUUCAUCAGCAAUCAGUCAGUUGAGCUGUUCUGCAGAUGCAUGAAAGGUCAAAGCAGAUGAGGAGAGAGGGGUGAGGGAAGGAAGGAAGGAAGCCUCGAUUUGUGUUUUCAUGAAGUUCUAAUCUGUCCAUAUGUUAUGUUAUUGAUACCACAACUCCUGAGGAGUUUCAGGUCUUUAGAAACAGUAUUUAAACCACCAUGAGACACUGAAGCUCUUUAUUGAAAACAAUAUCAAAUAUGUGGCGUCAACUUACUCAACAUACCUUAAAGGGGGACUCGAGCAGAAAUGUGCACUACUUUCAUUGUAUAUUCUCCACGGUGAUUAU